GAACAAAACAUUUGUAAGUCGCUCUGGAUAAGAGCGUCUGCUAAAUGACUUAAA
Molecule: non-coding RNA, 54 nt
Organism: Salmo salar (Atlantic salmon)
Lineage: Eukaryota; Metazoa; Chordata; Actinopteri; Salmoniformes; Salmonidae
Source: Rfam